GGAAAGACCCCGUGAACCUUUACUGCAGCUUGGCUGUGGCAACGGAAAUAAUAUGUGUAGGAUAGGUGGGAGGCUUUGAAGCAGCGGCGCCAGUCGUUGUGGAGCCAUCCUUGAAAUACCACCCUUAUUCUUUUCGUUGUCUAACCGCGUCCCUGGAUGGGACCGGGACCCAGCCUGGCGGGCAGUUUGACUGGGGCGGUCGC
This 203-nucleotide ribosomal RNA is filed under the name Prasinoderma coloniale. Its description in RNAcentral is "partial Bacterial large subunit ribosomal RNA". It matches the Rfam family "Bacterial large subunit ribosomal RNA", at positions 2082 to 2286 of the family's 2925-position model. Lineage: Eukaryota; Viridiplantae; Prasinodermophyta; Prasinodermophyceae; Prasinodermales; Prasinodermaceae. The record is from RNAcentral.